Molecule: non-coding RNA, 103 nt
Organism: Acanthosepion pharaonis
Lineage: Eukaryota; Metazoa; Mollusca; Cephalopoda; Sepiida; Sepiidae
Source: the annotation of a GenBank genome assembly
CAUCACAUUGAAACACUGGUUCCCAUAUGAUCACCAAAGUUAAGCAACAUCGAACCUUGUCAGUACCUAGGUAGGUGACCAUUUGGGAAUACCAGUUGGUGUG